GUUUACAUCUGAGAGAAAAGGGAGCAAAAGAGUUAAAGUUGUUUUUUUCUGAUAAGUUGAAUCACACAAAAAAACGACUUUUCUGUUGGGUGAAUUUGAGACUUUUUGGAAAGAGAAAGAAAGAAGUAUCAAUUUAACCUAAAUUCUCUGCUGUUCAAAAGACAAUAUUCGUCAUAAUCAACCAAGUGAAGCUAAAGAUGAAGGUACUUCAGUAGUCAGGAAGCAGGAAGAGUGUACGCCUGUUGAGUCACAAAGUUUACUAUCACACUUUUUUUAAGCUCUUGUCAGCAGCUAUCUAUUUUCAGCCUGAGCUUUUACAGGAAAUAUUCUAGUUUCGUCUGUUUUGCUCAGUUCCAUGAUUUCAAUAAAGGGAACUUCGACAAAGCUAGCGAACGGUGCUUAUGAUAAGCUACAUGAUUUCGCUCACGACGCAGACCUUGACCCACAACACUGAAGCAGCACUUCAAGACCAUGUCUACCAAUGGCACAAACGGAACAGUCGGUGGCAGUUCCUCCAACUCUUCUACAAAUCUAGGAGUCGGGCUUGGGGUCUUCUUUUUGCUGCUUGCGAUCAUAGUUGGUGUGAUCAUUUAUAAAUUCUACGGUAUAAUCGCCAAUGUGAUGCCGUUUAGACAAAGAACAGUGCAAGAAAAGGAGGAUCACUCAGAGACCCCACAAGCAGAUCCCCAUGAAUAUACUGGUAUGAUUCGAGAGCAGUCAAUAGGACAAUCUCCUAUCUAUGAAAACCUGAAAACUCAAACUGGUGGCUACAACAUGGCAGCUUCAAACCAAAGCAGGUUCCCAGUCGAACCCGAUGACGACGUGUACCUGCAGUGCGACGUCAUAGAUGAGGGAAUAUACAGCAAUGACCUCAUUCUCACAGACUGUCAAGAAGAAGACGUGUACGUUGUGCCAGAUUAAUCACGGGACACAUUUGUAGAAAGGCCUGCGUAUUUUGCUCCAGUUGUUGUAUGCAGCAAGCUGUCUCGUUUGAUUUCUGUCUCUGUUUUUGUAUAACGAUAUACAGCUAAAAGUCAGCGUACUGCUACUGCUGCUUUUUGAUACAGACUGACUGUAAACAGAACUUACUGGAUGGUAGCAACAUGUCAGUGUUAUCUGUUAUCUCCCAUUUUGGAGGAGAGUAACAGAACUUUUUUUUUUUAUUAUUUAAUCCACUCCCUCCUGGUACGAUUAUCUAUGUUACACAUCUUUGAUUGCUACUAUUAUUGGCACAUCUCAUAUUACAACCAUGCUGGAAAACACUGUACAAAUUUUGACAGCAGUCCAAGGUAAUCAACUUUGUGAUUAGAUUAGAUUGGUUUAUGGCGUUCUCUUGUAGUUACAGAUGAGGCUUUACUUUGACCUUUGGAGAGAAGUGUGGGCAGUCUAUCUGAGUCAUGUGUGUUCAGUAUUGUCCUUUUUCUCUCACUGGAGAUUCUUCACUUGGUCCUAAAUCAAAUCUAGAAACAUUUAACUUGUGUUAUGUUCUCAGUAUUUUGCUAAGCCAUGAGUCAGAUGGCUACAGAUACAGCAACCGGACCCUUGAAAUUCCCCUUUCUGUGCAAAAAAGUGUAACUGCACACUGAAUCCUUCAAAUAUCUUCAUAUGAGAAAAAAAGAAGUGCAGUUUCAACAGUUUUUCAUCAGUUUUUCUGCCGGAGUAACAAAAAAAUAAUACUAACGUGAAGAAAUAAACGUGUAAAAUUACUGAAAAUGUUCGGGCAGAUUAUUGCAAAGACUGUCCUGCAAUAAUAAAGCAAAGUCAUUUUAUUUUUUA
Molecule: long non-coding RNA, 1776 nt
Organism: Oreochromis niloticus (Nile tilapia)
Lineage: Eukaryota; Metazoa; Chordata; Actinopteri; Cichliformes; Cichlidae
Exons: 3
Source: RefSeq, a predicted model, not a curated record